GUGGGGAAUCUUCCGCAAUGGACGAAAGUCUGACGGAGCAACGCCGCGUGAGUGAAGAAGGUUUUCGGAUCGUAAAGCUCUUUCGUUAGGGACGAACGUGCUCUUUGUGAAUAAUGAGGAGUAAUGACGGUACCUAAAUAAGAAGCCACGGCUAACUACGUGCCAGCAGCCGCGGUAAUACGUAGGUGGCAAGCGUUGUCCGGAAUUAUUGGGCGUAAAGCGCGCGCAGGCGGGAUAUCAAGUCUGUCUUAAAAGUGCGAGGCUCAACCUCGUGAGGGGAAAGAAACUGGUAUUCUUGAGUGUCGGAGAGGAAAGUGGAAUUCCAAGUGUAGCGGUGAAAUGCGUAGAGAUUUGGAAGAACACCAGUGGCGAAGGCGACUUUCUGGACGGUGUCUGACACUGAGGCGCGAAAGCCAGGGGAGCGAACGGGAUUAGAUACCCUAGUAGUCC
This 450-nucleotide ribosomal RNA is filed under the name uncultured bacterium. RNAcentral describes it as "partial 16S ribosomal RNA". It matches the Rfam family "Bacterial small subunit ribosomal RNA", at positions 354 to 796 of the family's 1533-position model. The record is from RNAcentral.